CAGCGUGGAUUAGGCAUGCAAGUCGAACGGGAUCGUCUGGAUAGCAAUAUCGGGCGUGAGAGUGGCGGAUUGGGGAGGAGCACGUGAGCAACCUGCCCUGGAGAUGUGGAAAACCUCUGGAAACGGAGGCUAAUACAGAAUGUGGCGCCCCAUGGCAUCAUGGGAGCGCCGAAGGGGGCCGCAAGGCUCCCGCUCCGGGAUGGGCUCGCGCACCAUCAGCUAGUUGGCGGGUAACGGCCCACCAAGGCCUACGGUUAGCUGGUCUGAGAGGAUGACCAGCCCCACUGGGACUGAGAUACUGCCCAGACUCCUACGGGAGGCUGCAGUCGAGGAUCAUUCGCAAUGGACGGAAGUCUGACGAUGCGACGCUGCGUGGAGGAUGAAGGCCUUCGGGUCGUAAACUCCUGUCAUGAGGGAAGAGGCGAGGGAAGCUAAUACCUUCUUUAGUUGACUGUACCUCAAGAGGAAGCGACGGCUAACUCUGUGCCAGCCGCCGC
RNAcentral lists this ribosomal RNA (497 nucleotides) under uncultured bacterium. RNAcentral's name for it is "bacterial SSU rRNA". It matches the Rfam family "Bacterial small subunit ribosomal RNA", at positions 40 to 518 of the family's 1533-position model. The record is from RNAcentral.